RNAcentral lists this transfer RNA (73 nucleotides) under Candidatus Kaiserbacteria bacterium RIFCSPLOWO2_01_FULL_53_17. Its description in RNAcentral is "tRNA-Lys". It matches the Rfam family "tRNA". Rfam says of the family: Transfer RNA (tRNA) molecules are approximately 80 nucleotides in length. Their secondary structure includes four short double-helical elements and three loops (D, anti-codon, and T loops). The record is from RNAcentral. Lineage: Bacteria; Candidatus Kaiseribacteriota.
CCGCCCAUAGCUCAGCUGGUAGAGCAACUCGCUUUUAACGAGGAGGUCCCUGGAUCGUUCCCAGGUGGGCGGA